GGUUAAGCGACUAAGCGUACACGGUGGAUGCCCUGGCAGUCAGAGGCGAUGAAGGACGUGCUAAUCUGCGAUAAGCGCCGGUAAGGUGAUAUGAACCGUUAUAACCGGCGAUUUCCGAAUGGGGAAACCCAGUGUGACUCGUCACACUAUCAUUAACUGAAUCCAUAGGUUAAUGAGGCGAACCGGGGGAACUGAAACAUCUAAGUACCCCGAGGAAAAGAAAUCAACCGAGAUUCCCCCAGUAGCGGCGAGCGAACGGGGAGGAGCCCAGAGCCUGAAUCAGCAUGUGUGUUAGUGGAAGCGUCUGGAAAGGCGCGCGAUACAGGGUGACAGCCCCGUACACAAAAGCGCAUGUGCUGUGAGCUCGAUGAGUAGGGCGGGACACGUGGUAUCCUGUCUGAAUAUGGGGGGACCAUCCUCCAAGGCUAAAUACUCCUGACUGACCGAUAGUGAACCAGUACCGUGAGGGAAAGGCGAAAAGAACCCCGGCGAGGGGAGUGAAAAAGAACCUGAAACCGUGUACGUACAAGCAGUGGGAGCCCCACCACUAAGCCAGUGGUGAACUCCACAUACGCAUCCUUUGCUGAGGAUACGGUUAACGGAGCGAAAGCGACGUUCAACCUCAAAAGAAGCAGAGGGGGCUUAGUGGUGGGGUGACUGCGUACCUUUUGUAUAAUGGGUCAGCGACUUAUAUUCUGUAGCAAGGUUAACCGAAUAGGGGAGCCGGAGGGAAACCGAGUCUUAACCGGGCGUUAAGUUGCAGGGUAUAGACCCGAAACCCGGUGAUCUAGCCAUGGGCAGGUUGAAGGUUGGGUAACACUAACUGGAGGACCGAACCGACUAAUGUUGAAAAAUUAGCGGAUGACCUGUGGCUGGGGGUGAAAGGCCAAUCAAACCGGGAGAUAGCUGGUUCUCCCCGAAAGCUAUUUAGGUAGCGCCUCGUGAAUUCAUCUCCGGGGGUAGAGCACUGUUUCGGCUAGGGGGCCAUCCCGGCUUACCAACCCGAUGCAAACUGCGAAUACCGGAGAAUGUUAUCACGGGAGACACACGGCGGGUGCUAACGUCCGUCGUGAAGAGGGAAACAACCCAGACCGCCAGCUAAGGUCCCAAAGUCAUGGUUAAGUGGGAAACGAUGUGGGAAGGCCCAGACAGCCAGGAUGUUGGCUUAGAAGCAGCCAUCAUUUAAAGAAAGCGUAAUAGCUCACUGGUCGAGUCGGCCUGCGCGGAAGAUGUAACGGGGCUAAACCAUGCACCGAAGCUGCGGCAGCGACACUAUGUGUUGUUGGGUAGGGGAGCGUUCUGUAAGCCUGCGAAGGUGGCCUGUGAGGGUUGCUGGAGGUAUCAGAAGUGCGAAUGCUGACAUAAGUAACGAUAAAGCGGGUGAAAAGCCCGCUCGCCGGAAGACCAAGGGUUCCUGUCCAACGUUAAUCGGGGCAGGGUGAGUCGACCCCUAAGGCGAGGCCGAAAGGCGUAGUCGAUGGGAAACGGGUUAAUAUUCCCGUACUUGGUGUUACUGCGAAGGGGGGACGGAGAAGGCUAUGUUGGCCGGGCGACGGUUGUCCCGGUUUAAGCGUGUAGGUGUGUGUUCCAGGUAAAUCCGGUUCACUUUAACACUGAGGCGUGAUGACGAGGCACUACGGUGCUGAAGCAACAAAUGCCCUGCUUCCAGGAAAAGCCUCUAAGCAUCAGGUAACAUCAAAUCGUACCCCAAACCGACACAGGUGGUCAGGUAGAGAAUACCAAGGCGCUUGAGAGAACUCGGGUGAAGGAACUAGGCAAAAUGGUGCCGUAACUUCGGGAGAAGGCACGCUGACACGUAGGUGAAGUGAUUUACUCAUGGAGCUGAAGUCAGUCGAAGAUACCAGCUGGCUGCAACUGUUUAUUAAAAACACAGCACUGUGCAAACACGAAAGUGGACGUAUACGGUGUGACGCCUGCCCGGUGCCGGAAGGUUAAUUGAUGGGGUCAGCGCAAGCGAAGCUCCUGAUCGAAGCCCCGGUAAACGGCGGCCGUAACUAUAACGGUCCUAAGGUAGCGAAAUUCCUUGUCGGGUAAGUUCCGACCUGCACGAAUGGCGUAAUGAUGGCCAGGCUGUCUCCACCCGAGACUCAGUGAAAUUGAACUCGCUGUGAAGAUGCAGUGUACCCGCGGCAAGACGGAAAGACCCCGUGAACCUUUACUAUAGCUUGACACUGAACAUUGAGCCUUGAUGUGUAGGAUAGGUGGGAGGCUUUGAAGUGUGGACGCCAGUCUGCAUGGAGCCGGCCUUGAAAUACCACCCUUUAAUGUUUGAUGUUCUAACGUGGACCCGUGAUCCGGGUUGCGGACAGUGUCUGGUGGGUAGUUUGACUGGGGCGGUCUCCUCCUAAAGAGUAACGGAGGAGCACGAAGGUUGGCUAAUCCUGGUCGGACAUCAGGAGGUUAGUGCAAUGGCAUAAGCCAGCUUGACUGCGAGCGUGACGGCGCGAGCAGGUGCGAAAGCAGGUCAUAGUGAUCCGGUGGUUCUGAAUGGAAGGGCCAUCGCUCAACGGAUAAAAGGUACUCCGGGGAUAACAGGCUGAUACCGCCCAAGAGUUCAUAUCGACGGCGGUGUUUGGCACCUCGAUGUCGGCUCAUCACAUCCUGGGGCUGAAGUAGGUCCCAAGGGUAUGGCUGUUCGCCAUUUAAAGUGGUACGCGAGCUGGGUUUAGAACGUCGUGAGACAGUUCGGUCCCUAUCUGCCGUGGGCGCUGGAGAACUGAGGGGGGCUGCUCCUAGUACGAGAGGACCGGAGUGGACGCAUCACUGGUGUUCGGGUUGUCAUGCCAAUGGCACUGCCCGGUAGCUAAAUGCGGAAGAGAUAAGUGCUGAAAGCAUCUAAGCACGAAACUUGCCCCGAGAUGAGUUCUCCCUGAGACUUAGAGUCUCCUGAAGGAACGUUGAAGACGACGACGUUGAUAGGCCGGGUGUGUAAGCGCAGCGAUGCGUUGAGCUAACCGGUACUAAUGAACCGUGAGGCUUAACCUU
This 3006-nucleotide ribosomal RNA is filed under the name Salmonella enterica subsp. enterica. RNAcentral's name for it is "23S ribosomal RNA". It matches the Rfam family "Bacterial large subunit ribosomal RNA". Lineage: Bacteria; Pseudomonadati; Pseudomonadota; Gammaproteobacteria; Enterobacterales; Enterobacteriaceae. The record is from RNAcentral.